GUCUCCCGGAGAGGCGUCUCCGGGCUGACCGCGGCCGCAGCUCCGCUCCUCUGCCUGAGCCGUGCGGCAGCCCUGGGAGCCUCUCAACGCCGAGCUUUCCUCAGAAGCCCGCGGCGACCCGGGCCUCGGCCGCUGUUCCUGCCCGAACUGAGGGCACAUCGCGCUUCGCGCGGGAUUUCCCAUAAAUUCAGGCUCCGGGCAAGAUUGUGUGUUUUUUCCUCUCCGCGGGCCGCCGCUGGCCGUGUGGGCCGAAGAAGCCCUGGAGGGGGAGAGGGGAGCCGCUCUCGACUGGGCUUGCGGCGUGGGAGGGACAGUGAGGGACACUUAGGGACUGUGUGGGGCAGUGAAGGAUAGUGUGGGAUGAUGAGGGACCGUGUGGACCGGUGAGCGACUGUGUGGGACAGUGCGGGACGAUGAGAGACGGUGUGGGACGGUGAGGGACAGUGCGGGACGAUGAGGGACAGUGAGGGACUGUGUAGGACAGUGAGGGACAGUGUGGGACGGUGAGGGACUGUGGGACAGUGAGGGACUUUGGGACUGUGAGGGACUCGGACAGUGAAGGAUGGCAAGGGACAGUGUGGGACAGUAUGGGACAGUGGACAGUGAGGCACUGUGAGGGGCGGUGAGGGACAAUGAAGGAUGUCAAGGGACAGUGUGGGACAGUGGACGGUGAGGUACUGUGAGGGGCGGUGAGGGACAGUGUGGGACUGUGAGGGAUGGCGAGGGACAGAGUAGGACAGCAAGGGAGGAUGAGGGGACAGAGUGGGCCGGCGUGGGGCGGUGAGGCUACGCGGGGGGAACCCAGGGCUCCUCUGACUGCGUUGGAAUAUGGAGGAAAGGUCCUGCUCGAGGUUGAGCCCUUCAGGGUCGCUGUGGGUUUCCAGGAGGAGCUCCCUCACUACUGACUUAGGGGGCCCUCGGCUUCCCAGUGUAAGAAGAAGCUGUCUUUGGAGUGAGAACAAGGGUGAGGUUCUGGCUCAGAAACCUUAGAAUCACAGACACUGUUUUCCUGAAAACAUUGCUUCUUUCUCUCAUCUCAAAGAAAUGCCACAAGUCGUGUGUUUCCCCACUGCGAGCCCUUCGAGAACAAUGUCAUGUUGAUCGAUGGCAGUGACUCACACCAGAUCUUUCCAUGCCUCCUCUGCAAGGACUCAAGAGAGUCGAGAGCAAAACCGUGCCAUAGUUCCAUAAGGAGGGCAAAGAGCUUUAUCCACGCUGAGGAACAGGCGGAUCAUGCGGCUACAGCACUGGUCUUUACCUUUUAACUGCUUGAUUCGAAACAUUCCAGCCAGGAACAGUGGCUCACACCUGUAAUCCCAGCACUUUGUGGGGCCAAGGCAGGUGGAUUGCUCGAGCUCAGGAGUUCGAAACCAGCCUGGGCAACCUGGCAAAACCUCAUCUCUACAAAAAAAUACAAAAAUUAGCCAGGCCUGGUGUGUGUGCCUGUGGUUCCAGCCACUCGGCAGGCUGCGGCCAGAGGAUCACUUGAGCCCAGGAAGUGGAGGCUGCAGUGAGCUGAGAUCGUGCCGCCACACUCCAGCCUGGGUGACAGAGCCAGACAUUGUCUCUAAAAAAAAAAAAAAAAGAAAAGAAAAGAAAGAAAAAAGAGAAAUAGUCCAAGACUAGGGAGAAAACCUUCUUUGGGGUCAGUGUGAACCAUUCUUUCAUUUGUUCAGCAAAUGCUUACUGAGGAGCUACUGUGUCCCUGAAAUUGCCUCCACCUCCAAGAAGACAGUGGUGAGCAAGUCAGACAAUACCUCUAAUCUCAUGGUAUUUAUAAGUAAAUGGGCCGUUAAAAUUACCAGAUCAGAAGUGCUGUGUUCAGCAAAUAGAGGCUCAUGGGAAACUCCUAAGAAGGGCUUCUGAGCUGGACUUGGGGGUCAGGAAAGGCAGAAUGAGGGGGCUGACUCAUCCAGACUGGGGCGGGGUUGCCGGGGGUGCCUCCCACUUACUAUCUGUCUCCUUCUAGACUGACUUCUCUGUCAUCAUGAAUACACCCCUUUAAGACAUACAUUUAAGAGAAAAUAAGAGGAUGCCUUAUUUAUUUAAAGGUUUGUUACAGUUUUACUAACAACCACAUACCUAAAGGAAAGUCGCAAGUAGAGCUCAAAAACUUUUUUCUCUGGGGCAGUGAAGAGUCAGUUGCCAGCCAGAAGGCCCACUGAGCCUGAGCACUUCAGGGUGUGCUUCCUACAGAUAAGGACAUCCUCCUGCAUAACAGGAAAGGGGUCCUGAUCCAGACCCCAAGAGAGGGUUCUUGGAUCUCGCACAAGAAAGAAUUCCGGGUGA
This 2289-nucleotide long non-coding RNA is filed under the name Homo sapiens (human). Its description in RNAcentral is "HSALNT0290116". The record is from RNAcentral. Lineage: Eukaryota; Metazoa; Chordata; Mammalia; Primates; Hominidae.